UGGCAUUGCAGCUGGUUGGCUCCAGAUAUUGCUGCUCCAAAAUCUGCUAACCUUGCAUAAUUGAAAUCACCAAUAUGCUGGAUAUAAGUUUGAACAUGAUCUUUCCAGAGAGAACUUGUCUUCAAAACAUCUCGUAGGGUUGAUAGAACUUCAAAAGAUGUUGCCUUUAUAACAUCGUCGUCUUUGUUGUACGGCUUCUCCUUGAGAUGAUCAACUUUCACUGUAAGGGGUUCCUCGCUGACCACCUCUGUCAUACGUAUCCGUCUGUGACCAAUAAGAAUAACCUGGUCUCCUUGAAUACUUGUUAUCUGGGCAAGUGUACCAACUUCA
This 330-nucleotide unclassified non-coding RNA is filed under the name Hevea brasiliensis (rubber tree). The record is from RNAcentral. Lineage: Eukaryota; Viridiplantae; Streptophyta; Magnoliopsida; Malpighiales; Euphorbiaceae.